Molecule: long non-coding RNA, 431 nt
Filed under: Salvia miltiorrhiza (redroot sage)
Lineage: Eukaryota; Viridiplantae; Streptophyta; Magnoliopsida; Lamiales; Lamiaceae
Description: long non-coding RNA (SMIL_LNC013522)
Source: RNAcentral
CCCGCGCGAGCUCGCGCGGUCUCCUCGCGCGGCCGCGCGCCUGGCCCGCGCGGUACUCCAGCAACUCCUGCUUCGUCGCGCGGCCGUGGCAUGCGGCCGCAUGCCCGGACCGCGCGACCUCCAGCGCACGCACUCGCGCACGGCCGCGUGUCCUCCGACACACGGACUUCCCGGCGCCCGUUCUUGCUCAUCCGAUGCCCGAUUUUAGCCCGGUUCGUGUCUAUGGACUCGUCACUUCGCGUACUCCACUACGCUUCAUCCAAAUCUUCACAAAUCGAGCCCAGUAACCUGUAAAAACAACACGAGCACGGACGAGUAGUCUAUUCCACACAAAUUUAACAAUUCAAACCAAAGACACUCAAGAACUCAAUGAAAACACCCAAAAACUAUGACUAAACACGACAAAGGAGAUGAAAAAUGCAUGUAGAACA